RNAcentral lists this long non-coding RNA (1370 nucleotides) under Triticum aestivum (bread wheat). Its description in RNAcentral is "long non-coding RNA (TAES_LNC021202)". The record is from RNAcentral. Lineage: Eukaryota; Viridiplantae; Streptophyta; Magnoliopsida; Poales; Poaceae.
UUGUCCGUGCAUUUGGGAGAUAUUGCUCGUUUAUAGGGAAAAUGAACCAUAUAAAAUCCCCAUGUUCCAAAAUGAUAUCAUUUCUAUCUACAUUAGGCAUGAUUAUUAACUGUACACAAACUCCACAAAAAAUAUCAUAGCAAUACUUUUUCUGGAGGAAAAAAUCACCAAAUCACCUUCUGAAUAUGAUCUAGCAUGAUUAAUUGCAUCGUAACAUCAGCAUUUUUUCUUACCUUAUUAUUAUUAUACUAAUAAAGCAGCGAUUGCUUCUGGUCGUCCGUCGCGUUAUUUUACAUAAACACCCCUGCCUUAUUUGUUAAUUAACCCGCAGUACAUGGCUAAAUCAGAACGAACCUAAUACCCCAUCGGUUAAUUACACCUAAUCUCACCAGUUCAUAUAGGUACACAUCGAUUAUUCAACAAGCGAUCACAAAAAUCAGCAAACAGAGGUGAGGAUAAUUAGAAGGGGAACGGAGACGGUCGAGGGCAGUCGAAUCCGGACGGAUCCGGUCCGGUGGAGGCAGAUCCGGAGGCGGCGCAUCAAAUCCCUCGACAGGAGGAGCAGACGAGGCCGGGGACGGUCGAGGGCAGCCGGAUCCGGUCCGAUGGAGGCGGAUCCGGCGGUGACACGUCAAAUCCGGCCACGGGGAGGAGCGGCGACGGCAAAUCCGGACGGAUCCGGCGGGAGGCACGUCAAAUCCGGCGACGGGAGGAAUAGACGAGGUCGGGGACGAUCAAGGGCAGCCGGAUCCGUUUGCAAUGGCGAGGCUCCUUGCGUGCUCCCUGCAUGACCAAGGAAAAAAAAGGCUAAGAAGGUGAGGAGGAGACAUGAAGAAGGAGAAGGAGAGGCGCUGGAGCCGGUGUGGGUCGCGGCGUGCGCGAGGGAUUGGGGGCGGGCGCUGAGCUGAGCCCGUGGAGGAAAGAGGAGUCGUGAGGCUCGGGGGUGACCUCGAUGCCAUCUGCAUCCAUAGCUGGAAGGGGGGAGGGAGUGAGGGAGAGACGAGGAUGAGCUGUGUUGGCCGAGAAGAUAAGGUUUGAUGGAGCGACACGCAGCGGUGCGUCGGGCCACAUGACACCCGCGUGAGAGGCGUAGACGGGCUCAUGCGUGCAUGCAUCACGGCUAAAACAAUAAAUAAAUAAUAAGAAAAAGAGAGUGCAUCACGGCGACGGGUGGCAUGCAAGCGCGAGAGCAUUGAGGGGUCGGUCGAGAGCUAGCAGUGCUAGCCAGCUAAGCUAUGGACUGAGUAUACGAGUUUUUUCAACAUUUUCAACAUUUCUUGGACAAAAAAUUGAAGAUUUUCUAAUAUUAUUUUUUCUUCAAUACGGUGAACAAAAGGGAAUUCUGAACUUUUUGGAAACGUGAACAAAAU